UACAGAGGGUGCAAGCGUUAAUCGGAAUUACUGGGCGUAAAGCGUGCUUAGACGGUCAUGUAAGUCGGGUGUGAAAGCCCCGGGCUCAACCUGGGAAUUGCAUUCGAGACUGCAUGGCUAGGGUGCGGAAGAGGGAAGCGGAAUUUCCGGUGUAGCGGUGAAAUGCGUAGACAUCGGAAGGAACACCAGUGGCGAAAGCGGCUUCCUGGUCCAGCACCGACGUUCAGGCACGAAAGCGUGGGGAGCAAACAGG
RNAcentral lists this ribosomal RNA (253 nucleotides) under uncultured bacterium. RNAcentral describes it as "partial 16S ribosomal RNA". It matches the Rfam family "Bacterial small subunit ribosomal RNA", at positions 524 to 776 of the family's 1533-position model. The record is from RNAcentral.